ACGAACGCUGGCGGCAUGCCUAACACAUGCAAGUCGAACGAGACCUUCGGGUCUAGUGGCGCACGGGUGCGUAACGCGUGGGAACCUGCCCUUAGGUUCGGAAUAACUCCCCGAAAGGGGUGCUAAUACCGGAUAAUGUCUUCGGACCAAAGAUUCAUCGCCUUUGGAUGGGCCCGCGUUGGAUUAGCUAGUUGGUAGGGUAAAAGCCUACCAAGGCGACGAUCCAUAGCUGGUCUGAGAGGAUGAUCAGCCACACUGGGACUGAGACACGGCCCAGACUCCUACGGGAAGCAGCAGUGGGGAAUAUUGGACAAUGGGCGAAAGCCUGAUCCAGCAAUGCCGCGUGAGUGAUGAAGGCCUUAGGGUUGUAAAGCUCUUUUACCCGGGAUGAUAAUGACAGUACCGGGAGAAUAAGCUCCGGCUAACUCCGUG
RNAcentral lists this ribosomal RNA (432 nucleotides) under uncultured bacterium. Its description in RNAcentral is "partial 16S ribosomal RNA". It matches the Rfam family "Bacterial small subunit ribosomal RNA", at positions 29 to 507 of the family's 1533-position model. The record is from RNAcentral.